RNAcentral lists this ribosomal RNA (244 nucleotides) under uncultured bacterium. RNAcentral describes it as "partial 16S ribosomal RNA". It matches the Rfam family "Archaeal small subunit ribosomal RNA", at positions 747 to 990 of the family's 1478-position model. The record is from RNAcentral. RNAcentral also lists the same sequence under 1 other name.
CUAGCCGUAAACGAUACUCGCUAGGUGUCGGCCACGGUGCGACCGUUGUCGGUGCCGUAGGGAAGCCGUGAAGCGAGCCACCUGGGAAGUACGGCCGCAAGGCUGAAACUUAAAGGAAUUGGCGGGGGAGCACCACAACGGGUGGAGCUUGCGGUUUAAUUGGAUUCAACGCCGGAAAUCUUACCGGGACCGACAGCAAUAUGAAGGCCAGGCUGAAGACUUUGCCGGAUUAGCUGAGAGGUGG